Molecule: small nuclear RNA, 317 nt
Filed under: Oryctolagus cuniculus (rabbit)
Lineage: Eukaryota; Metazoa; Chordata; Mammalia; Lagomorpha; Leporidae
Description: 7SK RNA
Rfam family: 7SK RNA
About the family: 7SK was discovered as an abundant small nuclear RNA in the mid-70s but a possible function has only recently been suggested. Two independent studies have found that 7SK RNA binds the CDK9/cyclin T complex (known as elongation factor P-TEFb). P-TEFb activates transcription by phosphorylating the C-terminal domain of RNA polymerase II.
Source: Rfam by way of RNAcentral
GAAAGUGAGAGUGAUAUGCUGCAACAUCUGUCACCGCAUUGAUUGCCACAGUUGAUUUGGCUGUUCUGGCUGGCUAGGAGAGUGUCUCCAUCAUCCCUCACCACUCCAUGUGCAUCCCUUAUGAAACUGUGUAUUCAGUCAAAGAGGAAACCCUUCUCUGCUAGAGGAAGACUGGUCUCCAGUCAAGGGUAUAUGAGUAGCUGCACUCCCCUGCUAGAACCUCCAAACAAGCAUUCAGAUACAUGCUCCUUCCCUUUCUCUCAGGGUUGCUGUGCUGAGGGCAAUGAGAUAAUACAAGGAAUUGUACAGUGCUCCCU